RNAcentral lists this long non-coding RNA (12902 nucleotides) under Gallus gallus (chicken). Its description in RNAcentral is "lncRNA (ENSGALG00010028331.1)". The record is from RNAcentral. Lineage: Eukaryota; Metazoa; Chordata; Aves; Galliformes; Phasianidae.
UUGUAAUCAAAGACGCAAUGAAAACACGUGUCAUCAGGACAAUGAUAUUUUGAAUGAAGAUAAAUUAUGUUCUUUCUUCUGGAACUUCAUUGAAGUUGAACCUGAUGAAGUUCAACAAGAACAAGUGUAGAGUCCUGCACCUGGGGAAUAAUAACUGCAUGCAUCAGUGCAGUCAGGGGCUGAGCUGCUGCAGAGGAGCUGUGCAGAGAAGGACCUGGGGGUCCUGGUGGGCAGCAGGCUGGCCAUGAGCCAGAGGUGUGCCCUGGUGGCCAAGAAAGCCAAUGGUAAUUAAAAGCAUUGCAAAGAGCAUAGCUGGCAUGUUGAGGGAGGUGAUCCUCCCCUCUGUUGUGCCCUGGUGAGGCCACAGCUGGAGUGCUGCGUCCAGUACUGGGCUCCCAAGUUUAAAAACAAACAAACAAAAAAAAAACAACAGGGAUCUCCUAGAGAGAGUCCAAUGGAGGGCCAAAAAGGUGAUUAAGGGCUUGGAGCAUCUUCUGUAUGAGGAAAGACUGAGAGAGCUGGGACUGUUCAGUCUGGAGAAAAGAAGGCUGAGAGGGGAUCUCAUCACUGUUUAUGAAUAUCUCAAGUGCAAGAGUCAAGUCAAUGUGGGCAGACUCUUUUCAAUGGCAAGCAACAAUAGAACAAGGGGCAGUGGCCAGAAACUGAAAUAUGGGAAGUUCCAUACUAAUGCAGAGAAGAACUUCUUUACUGUCAGAAUGACAGAGCACUGGCACAGGCUGCCCGGAGAGGUUGUGGAGUCUCCUUCUAUGAAGAUCUUCAAGACCCAUCUGGACACCGACCUGUGUGACCAAUUGUAGGGAACUGCUUUAGCAGGGGGUUCGACCCAGUGAUAUCUUGAGGUUCCUUCCAACCCCUGCGAUUCUGUGAUUCUGAUUGUGUGGCUCUGUGAUUUAAGGCUGUGUAUUUUCCCUCUUCUCUUUUUACAGUUAUUUGAAAAUGUUUUUGUCCUGAAGUCACCCCUCUUUGACUCCCCUUAAAUGGAGUACCAAUCUGAGGUUGGACAUGCUUUAAUAGAGGCUGCUUCUUUCUUCUUCUUCUUCUUUUUUUUUUUUUUUAAGAGGUGGAAAUCAUGGAAUAAUAGAAUGGCUUGGGUUGGAAGGGACCUUAAAGCCCAUGCAGUUCCAACCCCUGCCCUGGGCUGGCUGCCCCCCACGAGGUUAGGCUGCCCAGAGCCCCUCCAGCCUGGUCUUGCACGUCUCCAGGGAUGGGUACCCAUAGUUUCUCUGGGCAGCCUUGGCUUUCCUGCUCCCAUCCAUGCACAUCCUGACAGCAUCUCUCUAUUCUUUGCAGGCCACUCAAUCCUGCUUCCGCUGCCUGCACAUUUUCUUUCCCUCACUCUGACCAGCAGGGACUUGCCCAGCCAUGCCAGUUUCCUGCCUCCUCUACUUGAUUUCUUAUCUUGGAGGUUGGAGAGCUCUUGUACUCUCAGAAAGGUGUCCUUAAAGAGCUGCCAUCUCUGCUCUGUUCCUUUGUCCCUAAGAACAACUUCCCAGGGGAUCUCACCCAACUACUCCCUAAGCAGCCUGAAGUUUGCUCUCUUGAAGUUCAGGGUCCUGACUGCUCUUUGCCAGGUGCAUAUUCCUUGAGAUCACAAAUGAGACCAGGGCAUGGUAGCUGCAGCCCAACCUGCCUCUAAUCUUAAUCUCUUUAUCUGUCUCCUCUGAAUUCAUGAGCUCCCUGGUCCAGUAACCCUUCUCCUCUGUCAGUUAGACUAAUACCUGGGCCAGGAAGUUACUGUCGGUGGGCUCUGGGAGUUUCCUGGGCUGCUUGCAGCUCACUGUGUUGCUUUCCCACAAGGCGUCUGGAUGAUUGAAGUCCCCAUCAGGAUUAGAGUCUGUGACACUUCUUGCAGCUGCAGCAAGAAUGCCUCACCCACAGGCUUUCUUUGGUCAGACAGCCUGUAGUGGACCCCAACCACCAGAUGUCCUUUAUUGGUCCAGUCCCUAAUUUUGACCCACAGGCUCUGAGUCUGAUUGUGGGUGAUUCUCAGAGGCAGCUCUUCACAGUCUAUCUAUUUCUUAACAUAGAGGGCAACUCCAGCACAGGAACAGGUUGCCCAAGGAGGUUGUGGAUGCCCCAUCCCUGGAGGCAUUCAAGGCCAGGCUGGAUAUGGCUCUCGGCAGUCUAGUCUGGUGGUUGGUGACCCUGCACAUAGCAGGGGGUUGGAACUCGAUGAUCAUUGUGGUCCUUUUCAACCCAGGCCAUCCUAUGAUUCUAUGAUUUCAUGAUUGUAAAAACCUCUCAGCCCUCAAUCAUAGCGUUCCAGUUGUGUGAUUUGUCCCACCGUAUUUCUAUGAUAGCAAUUAGGUCAUGGCUUUUUAAUAAUGACCUCAUAGGAAAAAAAUCACUCUCUUUGUCUUGAGCUGAAAAAUAUAGGCGUGUCCAUCUGUUAAGUAAGUUUUUGUGCUCAAAUGUAGAUACGGUUCUCUGAAACGCCUUAACAACUAUUAUGAUAGUGAAAGCAUCUUGACUGCAACUCGAGAGACCUGGAUUCUUUUCCUGAAAUAACCACUGAUUCUCAAGUCACUUAAUUUCCAUAUCUUGAAAACAGAGUAGUGUAUUUGCUGUCUUUCAUAAAGAGCAUUCAAAUCUACAUAUGCAAAGUGAUACGUAAACAUUUGUAAUAAUAUAGUGGGUGAUAUUCUCCAGGGAUAUAAAAAGGGGUGACCAGAAGAUGCUGGGAGAAUGAACUGACUUCUGCAGCUGUAGCUGAGCUCUUUGUCUUACUGGUGGUAAUUUGCAACUCAGAAUUUGGUGGUGGGGAGACAGAGUGCACAGUCAAUCAGAGUGCAGUCAAUUAGAGCAUGGUCAAUUAGAGCACGGUCUGAUUGACUGAACCUUAAGGAAACAUACUCUGUUUGUGUUUGCAUUAACUUAAAGGAUUCUCAAUCAUGAGGUAUGUGUAAACAUAGUGGGGUUUCUAUUUUCAAACUCCAAUUUUUCCUUUUCUGUUGCCUUCCAACUGCCACCUGAAAGAAAUCCCCUGUGGGAUUGCUUCUAAAAGUCCAAGCAUAUCUACAGCAAAAGAAGAACAUUUUGUCUUUACAUACUCACGCUGCAGAAAGGAAACAUUAUGUGGCACCGCAGCAUCAGACAUUUGCUAAGACACGCAGUGGUGGCCCUGUUUAAUUCCUCCUAGUGGACAAACUGCUCCAGCAGUCACCAGUCUAUGAGCUGACUCCUGGCUCCCUGAGGCAGUUAGUGCAGCACUGAGAUGCUGCUUUUAUUUCUGAGCCGUUUGGUGAGUGCGUUUUAAUCAGAGAUGUGGAAGAAGUGUUGGGGAGGAGGUGCAGCCUUCUCCUUCUCAGGUAAUUAAUCAUCUGAUUUUUGGUGUCUCAGUAAUUACUGUUGGCAAAAAAAAAAAAAAGUCAUUUGAAUGGUGGCAAUAUACUGCAAGCAAACAUAACUUUGAAUGACUUUGUUUCAGCCACUUGUCUGUUCUUCGUGAGCAUUUUUACAGUCAGCUGAGGACUUGUAACCAAGCCUUUGGCCACAACUGUCAGCUCCAGAUUGCCUCUAGCAGGCAAGGGUGUGAUUGCAAGAUGCUACCAUUGCUUCUGGCCGCUGGCCUUAUUGUGCUGAGUAUGCACGAAGGGACGUGCACAGCCCUGACUGCUGUUGGAUCUGAUUUCCACUGAAUUCUGCUGACCCUUAAACUGCUGCUGUGAUGGACUGAAGUAGCCUGAAGUGAACCUUUUCUCCCCAGCCAAAGCAAAAUGUUUAUCAGCAGCUCCUCUAAAGCCACUGCUGUUGCCCAAGUCUCUCCUUCUGCUGUUUGCUGCCUGCAGGAAGGCACGGGGAGAUAGCGAGCAGCCUGGGUGAACCUGCUCUGCUCCGACAGCCACUUUAGUUACCUGCCCCGAACCUCUGCUGCCAGCAGAGGCAGCUGUUGGUUCUGAGGCCAUCUGGAGGCACAAGGCAGGAUUUGAGGGAACUGCCUUUCUCUGGAGCCUCUUGUAGCACUCGUAGGCUUUGUUUAGUUAUUUAUCCAUCCUUCCAAUGCCCGUGCCAGUUUAGAACUUCCCAACGCUUUAACUACCAGAGUGUUCCUGAAUAGGUCAGAGUCAUUAUCCAUUCCUAUGAGGCAUACUGAACAGAAGAUUUGUUUUAAAAACAGAUGAAACAAUCAGCUUCUGAGCUAAUGUGGGGGUUUCUUGUUUACAUGGGCUUCAGCUCAGGCUGGACAAGGAGCUGGAAGAGUUUCUGCUGUGGGUACUCCUGUAUGUUCUUGCAGAGAUUCUUCGAACGCCGGUGGUUCUGUUAGCAUCCCUACGAGUGAAGCUGUGGUUGAGCAGAACCAAUUUAAAGUUGUUACAUUUGUCUGAGCUAAUCUUAUUUAUUUCAGGGCUUUUGCUCAGCUCUGCCCUUCUUGUUCCCGAGCACCUCUGCAUGAGUCGCCGCGGGCACAGCUGUGUGCUUAGGGACUCAGUUCUAUGGGAGCUCCCAGCUCAGGUUUGGGUACUGAGUGUUCCCCAGUCAGUAGGAGGAAAAAAACUCAGAAAUCCUCAGAGUGACUGCUGCCAUUACUUUGCAGAGAGCCUGUGAGAGCUCAUUUAUAAGGCAUCUGACAGCAAUCAGCACCAGAUCGUUCAUAAUGUCUUUGGAGUGUUUGAGGCCAGAUAAAUCCGACUGAUUUUCUGCCUUUGUGAAUAGCUGUGAGCAUAAAUUAAUCUCUAAUUUGAGGGGAAUGCUGCGUGUUAGAUGGAAAUGCAGGACGGAGCUGGAGGGGGCAACCUGGGCCUUUUUAUUCUAUCUAAACAUUAAAAUGUUCCAUCUGUACUUCUACUGCGAUCUGCAGUGGAAGUCAAAGGAAGGAUUUUGUCUCUCUUCUUUUAUAUUUAGCAUUUCUCUCAACACUUCAGAAUGUUGUCUCUGUUUUUUUGGACAAGGGGUGCAUGUUUUUUCCCACUUCUUAUUCAUUUAUGAAUUUAAAGGUCAACGUUGGGAUUUUUCGUACUCAGAAGUGUAUUUUCUGUUUAUUAUUCAUAUUUUAGGUGAGUGGUAUUUUAUUUACUUUAUUGUUUGUUCUAGAUGUUCAGCUAUAUCUGUGCUAAGAAAAAGGUCCAUUACUCGACGCAGGUGACUAGCUCUGGGUGCCCCCACCUGGUUGGAGCUGCCUAUUUCAUUGCAGUGUUGCUAAAUCCUUUCUGUAUGGUUUUCAUUCUGAAAAAGAUUAACCACAAAACAGCAAUGCAGGCAGUUCAGAUUCCUGCAGAGCACUGCUUAUGCAUUUGGUGUGUAUUUCAACUGGAGUAUGUCAGCAGCUGACAACAGGAAAGAAUCAUAGAGUGGCCUGGGUUGAAAAGGACCACAAUGACCAUCAGUUGCAACCCCCCUGCUAUGUGCAGGGUUGCCAACCAUCAGACCAGGCUGCCCAGAACCACAUCCAGCCUGGCCUUGAAUGCCUCCAGGGAUGGGGCAUCCACAGCCUCCUUGGGCAACCUGUUCCUGUGCUUGGACUGAAGGUACCGAGCUCUUCAGAACUGACUGACCCUGGCAGUUCUGAUUUGAGGUGUAAGGCACGGAUCUGAGCCAUACGUGUUCUUUGCCACUAGGGUGGUGAUGCAGACAAGUUGAUGUUCGGAAGGCAUACAGCUAUGCUGGGCUAAUGUUUGAGCCUACAGUAAAGUGCCUACCACAAACCCAUCCUUCUUGAUAUAAAGAUGUCAAAUAUUCUUUUACUACUGUUAAAGGACAUAAAGGAAAAGUUGCAGAAAGAAAUUCCCUUCUGAGAUUUUCAGUUGUAAAAACUGUUGUUCUCAUACAAACUUCAAAGCAAAGCUAGAAGAACACAUGAAGAGGCUAUUAGUGCAGCUGUGGUUUCUAAAAUACGUGGCUCAUGCAAGUCCUGAAAGGUACAACUGCUCCUUUACCAGCAUGAAAGCUGGAGAGCAGCAGAGCCCCGACAAGUGCAGGAGGCUGUUUGGAUGUCACACAGUUCAGUGGUCUCACAGUCCCAGUGUCAGACACACAGAGCCAGGCCCAGGCUGAGGUUGUCCCAGAAGAUCGUUGCUGUAGAUUACUGAAGUACAAAGGCUUGUAAACAACUACAGUGUCCACACGCGGGGCUGAAAAUGAGCUGUUAAGAGCUGAAAAUAUCAAUGUCUGAAAUUGGAAUUACUGACUCCUACUGGUUAGAGUUCCACCUCUCCCACGUAGAGAAUUGUUGGAUGCUCAUAAUGUAGCUUUUCACACUUUUUACUCUGUCCCUUAAAUGAUGUCUGUUUGAAUGUGAUUUCUUGAAGCCUUCAUUAUUUGUAAGUGAUUAUGUCAGGCUUUGAUAUAUUUUAGCUAUGAGAGUGUUUGAAUUAUCUGCUUUUCUCCUUUCAGCUGUCAUUUCAGGUAAAUGACAAUUCUGCAAGUUUGUGGUUUUGACUUCUCACCUCAGCGGUUUGGAUCAGUGAUUGAGGACGUGGACCCAGGAAUUUGAAGAUGAGCUUCACUUUUAAUGUCUUCAUUUGGACACCAAGCAAAUCCCUAACUAAUUGAGGCUGAAAUGCCUUAGGAUGAUAUUUGCUGUUCUUUAUUUAAAUUCAGAGAGUUUAUCACCACACGGACAUUUCAGUUGCUUAUUCUAGGAAACUCAUGGAAACGUGCUUUGUUAAAUAAUGUAUUUUCUAUUUUUUUUCCCUUCCUUGUGUUACAAAAUGAAUGUAAAAGCUUUAAAACCCAGCAUUCACCACUCUGCAGUAGAUCUAAUAGAGUGGCAUUAUAUGAAGAGAUGCCAUGGUAACUGAAGUUGCCAAGACAGUCAGUGUCAAGCUUUUUAAUGGUGACUGCUAUACUAUAUUUGGCUUUGAUUACCACAAUCUGAAUAGCAAAUGGAAAGUGUUCACCGGUCUCAUUUGCUACCACCUACAGUCCAGAAGUAACGAGAUGACAGAAUUCAGUGUUGCACUGACUGCCAACCACUGGCCAUCAGGAUUGUUCUUUGCAGCACUCCCCUCUCCCACUGGAUCUCAUGGCAUCCUUAUCACAGCCUUACCAUUUGUGCUAUCCAGUUGGUGAUAUGCCACUUGUCUUAAUGAAAUUUGGCACCUGAAGCCAGUAGAGGAGUCUGCACUUUGUGAGCUGGCAAAAAAUCAGCAAAGUCAUUUCCACAGGAAACUGUUCUUUAAAUCUGUAAGUGGUGCGAAAGCAGAAUAAAGCAGAAACGUACACUGUUUUUUUCUCAUAAAUGGGUUAAGUGUACCUUACCUCCCUUGCUGUAAAGCUUUGUAGAUCCUGUUAUCAUCAGUUUUCACAAAAAUGAUACUUUCUUCUGUCUCCAUAAUUUUGGUUUAUUUUUUAAAUGCCAGAAUAGAAAGCGAGGUCCCAUCGCCAAGGUGCCAUUUUAUCAUUUUGCUCACUCUAAUACAAAUGAUUUACCUAUACACUGAAGUAUUACCGUAAGUUAUAAUGAAGCUCCUUGCUAAAACGUGCAGCAGCAGUUCCAAAACGUUACUCAUUACCUUUAAAUCCAGAACUAAACUUUCUGCCAGUAGUAAUAGCCUCAUGCUGUUAAAAAGGACUGUUUUUAACAUGCUGUUAAAGGACUGCUUUACUUAAAAGGAAGCAGUCACAGAGCAGACUAUGAAAUGCUUCUUGAAUGAGAUGAACAGUCCUGGCCAUAACAGUUGUAGACUAUUGGGAAACUCAAUAGGCAGCUAACAGGAACAACUUGGGUAGGAAGAGCUUGAGGGUGAGUGCAGCUCAGCUCAGAACAGCCUUCUGUCAUUCUCUCUUGCAGUUAGGCAGACAUAAACAAAGAAGCAUGAUGGGAAGAAACUGAUAUCUUGGAGGGAAGGGAAAGACUAAAUAAAGAGUAGGGAAAAAGCUUUAACAAUGUGAUUCUUUAGAUAGAAAGCUAGUCUCAAAAGACCUAUCCCUUGACACAUGAAAAAUUGAUUGGAGAAAGCAGUAGCAAAUAGUUUUCCAGGAAGAAUGUUGUAUUGGCAGGAGGAUGGAUAAGAUGAUCACAGUUCAUUUACUUAAGUUAUAUCCAACAGCAUUAUGAAGUAGGAGAAUAUAUGGGUGAUUUCAUGUGGUUUUGGAUCGUGUGGAUUUUGAACAAACCAGUCAGGAGGUAGCAGCAUUGCUUUGGAGAUCAGCAAAUGAAGAAAAACAGCUUCAGUUGAAAGGGAACAGAUUUGACAGGAAAAAUUCAUAUUUGUUAAAGAUUGGUUUAGAAUACUGACAUCAAAUCUCACUGUCAGUGGAUAUUUUCUUCAACGGCUGUAUCUCUACUGCUAAAAUGCAACACAACAAAUUCAGAUUCAUUCCUAAGAUCAAUUUGUUCAAGUCAACAAAAUUUUUGUCACACCACUGUUAAACCUGAGAUGCCUCAAAUAAAGAGUAUAACUUGGCUUGAAAACAGCACGAAGGAUGAAUGUAAUCCAUGCCAUCGAGAAAAUAGCCAAUGUUAAACUAGAUGAGUUUGACACCAAUUCAAAAGGCAUCUUCUUGUGUCCUACAUUCUAGUAAUUUUGUUGACUAAAUUAUGUGUUUAAAUUUAUACGGCAAACUCAGGCCAGCAUUUGGGUUCCUGUGAUUAUUCAUUUGUAAGGCUGUGAAUGCUUAUUAAUGGCUCCUGGCUUUAGAAUGAGCGUUUAUGCUUCCAAAGCACUGCACAUGACUAAUUUGUUCUUCUGCUUAUUCGAAAGCAGCAGGGGUUGUCAAGAAGCCAAAUCUACACUGAAUUAAAACCACGUUGCUUUGCUUCCAUAGAAGAGGUAAUACUUGGCUGUUGUAAAAAAGUCACACUUCAAUUGAGCAUCAGUUCAUCACUGAAACUACAAAGUGGAGCAGUCGCAGAGCAGUCCCUGUGCAGACUUGUUGCUGGCUCACGCCUGCCAGUACUUCACAGAGAUGCAGAUGCCAUUGGUGGACUUUUCACUGCUGGACAGAAGGCAUUUGUGUGAUUGCUUGUUGUGAAGUACCUUCUGCAGAGACUGCCUGCAGUUUUGGAAGGCAGCUGGAUAGCAUCAUGCAUUAGUAAUCUAAUGACCUUUACCCCUCGGCACCAUUUCCUCACAUCUUGAACAGCUUGGCAAUACUAGGAAAGCAUCCCAUGGUUCAGUACAGUUGUGUAAUAGAAGUUCUUCUCAUUACAUUUCACUCAUUGACUGAUUUUAUCUCAAGAGUAAGCACAGCAGCUAGAAAUCACAGGAAGCCUCGGAAGAGAGUUGGAUUAAUACCUGAAGGCAGUUUCCUCUGGAAGUGAGCUUUCCUUCGAGGCAUGGAGCAGCACUGCUGCUGUGGCUGCUGCACUGGGGCUGCAGGAAGUCCCUCUGUGCAGACAAAACUCAUUCUGGGAACAUGCAAAGAACACAGAGUUUGGACCCAAUUACUCACUCUGCCAUCUUUUUUUAUCCUCAAGGAUGGGGGGGAAUCCUUUAUCAGUGCAUAGUAAUCGUCUUGAUGUCCAAUGAAAAGAGCAAUGACAAACAUUUCCUUGCCAGACAAUGAGUAUUGCAGGCAGACAGCUGGGUUACUUUCCACCUUUGCACGAGCACAUCUGCUCAACGAGCACGGCGUGCAUUCGGAGAUACCCGAGCACGCAGGGCUGACAUUUGCUUUUCAGAAGCGCCCCCCUGACAGGCACUUGAAUGCUCAGACACCCGUGUGAAAGGUACACAGGACAUCAGUGGGACGAGCUGCGUAACUCACACCAAUGACACGUCUCUUUUCACUUGCAGUAUUUAUAGCUGGCAGUGAUUUCCCAUUGCGCACUUUUGCUUUAGGAAGGACUUCUAAAAUAUCAAGAGUUUGUUCCAUACAGACCUUUUCCUUUGGGUACAUGAAGGAGGCUGAUGUCAACGGCAGCUCUCGGACGUGGCCCUGAAUACACAGCAGUACGAGCCAUUCUGCUUGUGCAUGUGGUCAGCUUUUGCUUCAGUCUUCUUGUGCUUCUGCUUGUGCUUCAGGCAGCAUGACUUUCAGAGCUCUUCAUUUUAUUUUAUGGCUAAUUUCACGAAUUCAUUAGGGGCAUUGUAGUGGCAGUGCUCAGUCACAGCCUGAAACAGUGAUGGAGCACCUGGUGGGAAGGCAGGGCCAACCCAGGGGAGUUCAGGUGCACGUAGUGCUGCUGAGUGACUAGAAGGGAUGGAGUCAGUAUCCACCCCUUCCCAGCCCUCAUUUAAGGGUUGGCAGUGGAGCUGAGGGUAUCUUUUGCUGGAGAUUCCUGCUUACCUGCGGCCUUCUAAGAGUAAGCAGCUCUUUUCCUUAAUUUUUGCAUCUGUGGCUGUUGCAUUUGGGCUCAUUCUCAUUUGGAGUAGCUAAAGACUUUGACGCCCUGCUAUUAUCCUAUUAUAGCGUUGCAGGCAUUAAUAAUAGUUAAGGAGAUUUAAAUCCAUUAUGACUGUAACACUGGGCAGGCUGCAGGGGUGUGCAGAUGUCAUCUCCAUGUUCUUCUGGAGGAAUUUUGGAUGCUCAGUAGCAGUGAUGCCAGUGUUGGGGCAUGCACCCAGAGCACCCCUGUCUGGAGGAAAUGUAGUUCCCCACAUCUUGCAACGCACAGAGCUGUGAGAACACCAGAAUGCCUGAGCACUCAUCUGCUGCCCAGCUCUUGGCUGCUGCUAGAUGCAGCUCGUGACUUUGAAACCAGUUGUUUGCAAAAGAGCUCUGUGCCAUGCCCUGCAGGGCGAGCAGGGCCUCGUGCUGCAGCUGCUGACUAAUGCAUGACACCUCUGCUGUGAGGCAGUUGUGUUCACUCACCGAGGUCAGGGUGACUCAAAGCAGCACAUGUUCCAUGUCGAUGCCCAGAGGCAGCUGCUGUUUUACAUCAUGACAAUGUCAAUUAUCACCUACAACACUCCUGUAAGGAGUAAAAUGGCAUUGACAAAAGAUGCAAUUAUUUGGCUGUUUGCUUUCUCAGUCCUCUGCUAAUGUCAGUGUCUGGUUGUCUCUCUGAUGAUGCCUUUAAACCACAUGUGUGACAGCUACACUGCGUUGAAAAACACAGCUUUCCCCACCUGUGUGUGCAUGAGGAGAUGUGCUGUUGCAGAGAUGCCCUGAUCUUUCUGAGCACCACUGUAACGCUGCUGGAGAAGCUCAAGGGGGGAUUGUGUCCUUUCCAGUGGAGGCUGGAGGUGCAAUAUUGAUCUCAGCCCCCAUCUCUUGGAUAGCUGGAGUGUCAAGCACUGGGUAGAAUUGCUGUAAGUGCGCUGGCUCUUGCUGUGCUCCUGGCCGUUCCUCUGCUUCAUGUCUAUGUGCUUGGGCCUUUGGAGCUGGCUGCUGCACCAGCCCAGCUCUCGGAGGUGUCCCCCAGCAGCUGCUGCCUGGGGUUGCUUGGGCUGCUCGCAGGAGCUGAGGGCACAGCCCAGCCCGCUGUGCUGGCAGAGGCUGAUAGCCUGCCCAGAGCAAGUUUUUCUCCUCCACCACAGUCAUCUGACCUGUCCUUAGAACGGCAUCUGCUUUUGGGGGGCAAGACCAACAAAAAACAACAGCAACAAAAAGCUUUUGUGAUUCAUCUCUUAUUUAGAGCAUGUGCUAAUGAUGAAUUUGGGUGCAUCCCAUCUUGUCUCUAGGAACAGCUGGAAUAACUUCUGUGUUUUUGCAUUGGAAACAACAAUGUUGCCGAAUCAUAGCUGUUCUUUGUGAAUCUCUCCAUUUCUUUAAGUUGUCAAUUUAUGGAAAAGUGGAAGAAUCUGGUAGUGAAACUGAAACUUCUUGUUUGAUCAUUUUGGUACCAGCAGAUGUGGGGAAUUCAUUCCAGGACAAGUUUAUUGCCUACGUUCACGUUCUGACAUUGCCAAAAUGAGCAGAAAUAAAAGCCUUCCCCACCCCCCUCAAGUUUUUAAAUAUAAUGGGAAAUGUUUUUAUUCUUUGGAGUUGUGGCAGAGUCUGCACAAUUUAACCUUGCAGACUUAUCCUGUUCAACCACAGGUCGUGUGCUGCUGUCCCAGCAGCUGGGGCUGGAUCCAUGCAGUCAGUCUGCACACGACGUGGAGGUUUGCUGAUGCUGCACAGUUGGGUGCAGGCAGUCAUCUGCAGAGCCCUCACGCCUUUGUAUCAUCCAGCCUGAUACUCAUAGCGCUGUUUUACUAAGCCCAAAGCCUUUACUGGUUACACAUGCUCUGCGUCAUUCCUUCCAUUGGCACGUGCUCCGUUCGGCAUUCUCUCAUUCACGUACGACACAGGGAAGGGAUUGUAUACUCCACUGUGAUACCACUUACAUCUCCUCCUUUGUUUCUAGGCAUGUAAUUACAUAUGGAUUUGGACCUUAACAAACCAUGGGUUGCUUUAGGUUACACUUGCUCCUGCCUCAGCCUAACUACGUGUUUUCAUUUAGAUUUUGGCAAGACCUUUGUCUGGCCAGCUGGCUUUUGUGCUCGAGACCAUCCUGUCUUUUGUCUUGAGUUACCCUUCCUUCUUCCCAACUGCAGCCCUGACUGCACUUGCAGUAACAGGGAUGAAUUUAUCAAAUGUUUGUGUAUUCACACAAUUAAAACGCAGAUAUUGAUUUGUUACUUUGAUCUCUUGGCUUCCCUUACCAGAAUGUAGGCAUGUAGACACAAAUACAGGGUGUGGAGGAUCUGUUGCAAAGGGCAAUUUUGAUCUGGCCGUAGCAGCGUGAGCCAUCUGUUGAUUGGCCUUUGUCAGCCAAAUUGUGCUACUAGUUGGCAUAGUGAAUAUGUAUGCAGCACUCUGCAGGACAAAACUCAUAAAUUCAGAUUGCCUUGCAUGAACUUAUAUAUGCAGUUCAGCUCCACAAAGAGAAAGAAAAAGAAAAAAACUGCAUACAUUGCUUAUGCAACAAAAUGUUGCUUAUUUAUAGUGGCAUUUACAAGGUGCAGGGAAAGCUGAUAUCCUCCUCAAUGAUGAGGGCUGAAAACCUCAUUAAAAUGUGUUAUAACAUCAAGUGAUGCAUUUCUGCCCCUACUGCUCCAUUUUAACACAGG